Molecule: ribosomal RNA, 395 nt
Filed under: uncultured bacterium
Lineage: Bacteria
Description: partial 16S ribosomal RNA
Rfam family: Bacterial small subunit ribosomal RNA
Source: RNAcentral
CCUACGGGAGGCAGCAGUGAGGAAUAUUGGUCAAUGGUCGUAAGCCUGAACCAGCCAAGUCGCGUGCGGGAUGACGGCCCUAUGGAUCGUAAACUGCUUUUAUACGGGGAUAAAGUGCGUGACGUGUGCUGUUUUGUAGGUACCGCAUGAAUAAGGACCGGCUAAUUCCGUGCCAGCAGCCGCGGUAAUACGGAGGUUCCGAGCGUUAUCCGGAUUUAUUGGGUUUAAAGGGUGCGUAGGCGGCAUGUUAAGCUUGCGGUGAAAUGCCGUGGCUCAACCAUGGAAUUGCGGUUGGAACUGGGGUGCUUGAGUGCGUUGAAGGCAGGCGGAAUGCGUGGUGUAGCGGUGAAAUGCUUAGAUAUCACGAAGAACUCCGAUUGCGAAGGCAGCAUACG